UUUUUCUUGUUUUCAUCUGCUAAUUUAAAACAAUGGCUUUGCUAACCCGAAACAAAGACACUGUUUUACUUUAGUUUUUAAAAAUGAUUGCUAUAAUUUAGCCAACCGAGACGUCAAAGUCUUCGUCUUCUUGGCGACCCAGUAAUCCCAUUUCUGCGUUCACGAAAAAGUCUGAAAGUAGUGUUUGCUUCCAUUUUUUGUUUUGUUUUAAGUUGGAUUUUUUUCACAACAAAAUUCCCUUCAGGCCCCUUUUUUGAGAGAGCUCACUUCCUGGGCUCUUGGCAUUGUGGAGUCACAGCGACGAUAACAGGCUGCUGGGUGGCAACGGCGGCGGACCCCUCGCCGUCGUCCAUCUUGGACCGCUUGACCUGAGGUUCGUUGCCCCCGCUGGGUUGCUCGGCGGAAAGCGGACGACACACCAGAACCGGAGGAGAGCUGGAGGCCUGAGCUGCCAAAAUCUGGAGAGGACUGCUUAGACCUGGAGGAGACGAAGGAAGGCGAGGCAGCUGGGGGACGGACGGAAACACGUACCUGAAGCAAAAGCAGCGAGGCUGGUUGCCGUGGCAAAUGCGGCGUUGGUGUGCUUCCCGUUGUGGGUAACGGGAUGCACGGGAAGUUGAUGCAGCCCCAGCGCCAUGUUCCGUGUGUCCAGGUUGCGCGAGUCCGCCCCCUGUGCGCCGCCGUCCACCGUCUGGAUCACCAGCUCUCGCUUCAGCUGCGCCUCUGACCGCCGCAAAAAUGCCACAUCGAAGAUCAUCAAGAAGAAGACGACGUGCAUUUGUUACAGUUUGAUCAACUAUACAGCGCUUCCUUGACUAACAACUAGGGUUGCAACUAACAGUUAUUUUGAUAAUCCAUUAAUCGGUCGAUUGAUUUGUCGAUUAAUCAAUGACUCGGAUAAAAAAAACAAAAAAAAAACAUUUUCUAAAUGUCCUACCCUUUAUUCAAACCCAGGACAUUUUUUUUUUAAAUUGACCGCGCAGAAAAUGAACAUACGUCGAUUGAUUAUGUUAUGUUUACUGGUAUGGUCCGUAACAUCUGUCAGAAAACAGACAAAAAUGUUGACUACAGAAGUCUGACAAUAUUUACUGUUGAGAAGCUGAAAUGUUGAGCUCGAUAGAUAGAAGUAGGGCUGCACGAUUAUGGCCAAAAUAAUAAUCACAAUUAUUUGUAUUAAUAUUGUAAUCAUGAUUAUUAAUCACGAUUAUGCCUCGUUAGGGAAAAAUCUUUAUUUUGAUUGCACUACUUUUCAACAAUCGAUAUGAGAUUUCAGUGCAAAAUGAUUCUUUAAAUAAGAAUAAAAGAUAGAUGAUAAAAAAAUAAAUGUAUCCACAAAGGAUUCUACUUUAGCAACGGCUAACUCAAUAAAUAUGCUUUUACAAAGUGCAAUCACGAAUUGCAACUUAAUGGAAGACAUUGGACAUUAGGCUGUAAGCAAUGACUUUUCAUGCGAGAAUCACCGUCAAUAUUGUGAUUUGUCGAGGACGGGUACGUCUCCGUUGUUCUGCUUGACCGUUGGUCAGUCGUGCACGGCCGCAAACUGCAAAGAACUCGACAGUUGUGAUUUCCCUCUCUAUUACCCUGAGGUCAGGCGAGCCGAAACGUUCAAGUCAAGGCAGCCGCUAGCUACAACGAUUGUUAAUCGUGUCUUACCGUGACACGCCGCCUCUCCGCCACCGUGCUGAGAGAGCCAACUUCAAAAUAAAACUUCAUAUAUUGUGACGUUGGACAUCAAUGCCAUUUUAAGCUUUUAUUUUGAAGUUGGCCACGAAGCUCUGUGCGGCCCUGAAUAAAGCCUUAACCAUACGUUCGCCCCCUUGGUGGCUGGCUGACUGCAUUGCGGGCACUGCCGCAAAUGAACCACUUCUCACAUGCAGCAGUGCCCGCAUUUUAAAAUGUAAAAAAAUCGCAGACGAUUAGGCUCAUUUAAUCGUGGCAGCCAAAACCGCAAUCCCGAUUAAAAUUUGAUUAUUUGUGCAGCCCUCCAUAGAAUAAAGUCAGAUUUUGUUGGAGGUAAAACUCGCAGUUGCAUAAAGUUGUAUUUGUCUGAUAAAAAGCCAUAAAAUAUAUGUUAUGUUAUAUAAAGUUGGAUUAUUUCCAGACAGAAAAAAUAAAAA
Molecule: long non-coding RNA, 2117 nt
Organism: Phycodurus eques (leafy seadragon)
Lineage: Eukaryota; Metazoa; Chordata; Actinopteri; Syngnathiformes; Syngnathidae
Exons: 2
Source: RefSeq, a predicted model, not a curated record